Bombus huntii is the source of this 1426-nucleotide long non-coding RNA. RefSeq lists it as uncharacterized. The transcript is spliced from 2 exons. NCBI's taxonomy places the organism in Eukaryota, Metazoa, Arthropoda, Insecta, Hymenoptera, Apidae. The record is from RefSeq and is a predicted model, not a curated record.
AGUACCGGUUUUCUCUGCUCCCAACUGGCGUUUCUUUUUUCCAGCUGACAGAACCGUGCGACACAGUCCGUUGGACGGAAACGCACAUCAGGAUCUCAUAAUUUAAUGCGGUGCAGCCAGCGUGCAUCGCGCUCGGGGAAUACUGUCAUUUCUCUAAUAACGAUUUAACGUUGCGCGACUUUCGCCUGGCGCAAAGUGAAAAGUUCUUGUUCGCGAAAGAGCAACACCGUUGUUCCAAAAAUGAGCGUGCACGAGUCGCGGAGAAUUCGGGCUAGAAUCUCGAUCCAUUAAAUAAUUCAUUUGAAAAUGUUCCAUCGAGCGCUCGUUGACAAAUUGAUAACGUUCCCGGUAUUUGGUGACAGGAAUAUUCUUUUGCAAAAGAAAAGGCAUUACCGUUUCGCCAAACGAUUGGUGAUAGAUAAAACUUAAUUCGGAUUAGUCAAAUUAAUUGAAUCUAAAUCGUUUGAAUUUAAGUAACUUGAAAUAUUGAAUUAUAUUUUCAAAUCGAGAAAUAGAUCAAAGAAUCUGUAUUUUAUUUAAAAUUUGCAACGAUAUUUUUAAGUGAAUAACAGUUUCUUAUUGGAAAAGAAGUUUCGAGUUGCUUAAAUUCAAGUCACCUGACUGUAGUAACCGGAACGAGGCUUCCCGAGAGAGGAGGAAAACAGUGUUUCAACUAUAAAAUGACAGGGGAUUUUGUUAGUGCAAAACCGCUGGAGGAAGAAAUACGAGGAAAUAAAGUGCAGAAACGCUGCUAAAAAUUGGAAAAUCGUGAUAGCGACGACAGGGAUUUCAGUUUUACAGACCUUCUUUGUGAAUUCACGAAUAGAAUAUGAGUGCCGACUGAUCGUGGGACCAAGCUGAGAAAAAAAUGGAACAGAAUAGUUGAAAAGAAACUCGAAUAACAUCUCACCAUUUGCCGGCUUAAUUUCUUAGCUGCGACACACAGGGUUAGGCGUACGCUCAAUGAAGAUUAGUUUUUUAGCGUCCCCUGAGAAAGGACUUGUUCCCAUCUUUACCCAGCGCCGUUAGAAAGUUUCCAGACGUCGCAAUAACGUGCAUUCCUUUACGAUUCAUAAAGUGUCGUUAUUUCUAUUUGCGGACGGGGAAUUUUACAUUUCGCGUGAUCAGCGACAUCACUAACUCGACAUCUAUGUUCGCUUGUUGUCAUCAAAUGGAUUUCAGAAUUAAAUUGAAAUCUGCCAGUAAUUAUGUCAUGUAAUCCGAUGGUUUUGGCAGUUUUGAAAAAAGAUAAUAUGAAGCUGAAAAGCUUAGCAGCUUAUUUAUGGAGAUACUUCAAAUAAAUGGUAGUAUACGAUGUAUGAUGUGGUUUAACGGUACGUUUGAGUUAAGCUAUUUCAGAUACGACGUAAUAUAUGAACAUGCAGAUGUCGUUUUUAAUGAUCGUUUGCUGAUUUAAGAAUAAAAU